GCCUGGGUGGCUCAGUUGGUUAAGCACCAGACUUCGGCUCAGGUCAUGAUCUCGUGGUUCGUGGGUUUGAACCCCAUGUUGGGCU
This is a non-coding RNA of Felis catus (domestic cat), 85 nucleotides long. NCBI's taxonomy places the organism in Eukaryota, Metazoa, Chordata, Mammalia, Carnivora, Felidae. The record is from Rfam.